UAUCGACAUCGUGAAUAACAUGGGUUUACAAGGUAAGUUCUUGGUGGUUGUGUUGGUAGUGUUAUUAUCUGGCUGUGGGUGCGUGCGCGGGGAUCGAGAAAAGAAUUGCCCUUCGGUGACCGAUGGUCAAUGCUUGGUGAGUUGUGGGAACGAUAUAGUGGGCUGCUGCACUGAAUGUCUAAGCAAAGGUCCGGAAUCAGUACCAUGCAUUCUAAAUUGUGGCAUGACUAACGUCGGCUGCAUGGGCGGUUGCCUUGGAACCAAACUUCCCUCACCAAGUGAUGCCGAAAGCCCGGCUCCCAGCGUUCAUCUCUAAGUCUCCGUUCGAAUAUACGUCAUCGUCUUAUGAGGGGGCGAUGAUCAAUCGAUGAUAACAUUUUAAUUUACAAACACGAGCACACACACACACAAACACAUGCACGUAGAGUAGACAUCCAUUAUUAAUAAUGAUUGUAUCUGUGUCAUCGGCCCUUGAUAU
RNAcentral lists this long non-coding RNA (478 nucleotides) under Olea europaea subsp. europaea. The record is from RNAcentral. Lineage: Eukaryota; Viridiplantae; Streptophyta; Magnoliopsida; Lamiales; Oleaceae.